UGGGAGAAUCUGUAAAGCUCAGGAGGGAUAGCGCCUAAGCUAUUUCUUUCUUUCUUUUUUGCAGAAAUAUCAUCUGCGGCGCUAUCUAUCCUGAGUUUCAUGGGUUCUUCCU
This 112-nucleotide microRNA precursor is filed under the name Gossypium arboreum. Its description in RNAcentral is "MIR390 microRNA precursor family". It matches the Rfam family "MIR390 microRNA precursor family". Lineage: Eukaryota; Viridiplantae; Streptophyta; Magnoliopsida; Malvales; Malvaceae. The record is from Rfam by way of RNAcentral. RNAcentral also lists the same sequence under 1 other name.